This 82-nucleotide transfer RNA is filed under the name Plutella xylostella (diamondback moth). RNAcentral's name for it is "tRNA-Ser". Lineage: Eukaryota; Metazoa; Arthropoda; Insecta; Lepidoptera; Plutellidae. The record is from RNAcentral.
GGCUUAGACGGUCGAAUGGCGUAGUGGUUAGUGACCCUGACUGCUAUGCCGAAGGUCCCGGGUUCGAUUCCCGGCUGGGGCA